UACGUAUGGGGCAAGCGUUAUCCGGAUUUACUGGGUGUAAAGGGAGCGCAGGCGGCGCGGCAAGUCAGAUGUGAAAGCCCGGGGCUCAACCCCGGGACUGCAUUUGAAACUGCCGUGCUGGAGUGUCGGAGAGGCAAGUGGAAUUCCUAGUGUAGCGGUGAAAUGCGUAGAUAUUAGGAGGAACACCAGUGGCGAAGGCGGCUUGCUGGACGAUAACUGACGCUGAGGCUCGAAAGCGUG
This 240-nucleotide ribosomal RNA is filed under the name uncultured bacterium. RNAcentral's name for it is "partial 16S ribosomal RNA". It matches the Rfam family "Bacterial small subunit ribosomal RNA", at positions 524 to 763 of the family's 1533-position model. The record is from RNAcentral.